This is a non-coding RNA of Salvelinus sp. IW2-2015, 1152 nucleotides long. The record is from RefSeq and is a predicted model, not a curated record. Lineage: Eukaryota; Metazoa; Chordata; Actinopteri; Salmoniformes; Salmonidae.
UCCCUCCCUCCUCUCUCUCUCUCUCUCUCGCUGCCUCUUGCUCUCACCCUCUCUCUCGUUCUGGAACUGCCAAGCAGUUUUCUCUGAGCCUCAUUCAAGCAAAAUAAAACACACUCAUGCACGCCUGUCCCAAGAAGAGCGGCGUCUUUGGAACCAAGUAUUUGGACCCUCAGAAGCAGAAAACACAGGUGUGUUUGUGUUCGGAAGAGAAGUAGAGUUUGAGGUUGAACCAGGAAUCAGGAAGUGGGAGGACCCAACCAUCAAACGAGGACCACUGAGGCAGCCGUUGGAUGAAUGGGAGUUUGUCUGAUGCUUGGAGCGAUGAGAGGCUCUGUCGGUGACAGAACCGUCAGCAACCACAGGACAUAAGCUUUAACCAGCUGGAAAUAUAAUGGAAGCGGAGUCCCGUUUUGGCUCAAGGUGAUUCUAAAUGUGAUUUUGUCUCCCUCUUUGCUACAGAGGAAAUUGGUCUGCGCUUUGUUGGAUUUUGCUGCUCUGUAGGAGCGAGCUGGCGACUCCCGCUGGUGUCUGUGGACACAGCCUCUUUACGCGUCCUGAUACGCAGUCUCCCAAGGAUCUUGCCUAUUCGAACCUCGCAUAUCUUCAAUACGAGAAUAUUGCGAGAUAGAUUUGUAUCCCACUCUGAACUGGAGACAAAACGCACUUAACGGGAUUUAGCGACCUAGAGCUGUUGCUGAUGCUUUUUCUGCCAAGACACAUGGCUUCCUUUGUCCGAGAGGCACCGUAGCUUUGUAAGAGCUUCUCGUAUCUCGUUGGAAUUUUAUUGGAAACGGAUUCUCUUUUCGCAUGGAUGUCAUCGAUUUAAACGGAGUUGAAUUCGCCGCCUAUUUGUGGAUUACAUUAUUUUGACAAGCAGAAUGUGAAACGGGGCCAUAUUUACUACACAGCGAAAGUGAUAUCUUAACUAAUAUUUUCCUUCUUGCCAGUUUCGCCACAUCAAAGGGCUCUGAUGCCAGCUCAGAGAAAUUCUUCAGCACCGCUGCAGUUAAAGUUCCAGAUUUCAGCAUCGAUGCGCUGCCACCAAUGACAUCCAGGAGCGUGGCGGCCUGGCCUUCCCAAGGUGUCAGGCCUAGAGCGCAGCCAGGAGAAAGAGCCAGGAGAGCUGCAAGACUCCCCGUUGCCUCUCCCCGC